This 628-nucleotide ribosomal RNA is filed under the name uncultured Alphaproteobacteria bacterium. Its description in RNAcentral is "bacterial SSU rRNA". It matches the Rfam family "Bacterial small subunit ribosomal RNA", at positions 1 to 677 of the family's 1533-position model. The record is from RNAcentral. Lineage: Bacteria; Pseudomonadati; Pseudomonadota; Alphaproteobacteria.
GCCCUUAGAGUUUGAUCCUGGCUCAGAACGAACGCUGGCGGCAGGCCUAACACAUGCAAGUCGAGCGAGGACUUCGGUCCUAGCGGCGGACGGGUGAGUAACGCGUGGGAACGUGCCCUUCUCUACGGAACAGUCCCGGGAAACUGGGUUUAAUACCGUAUACGCCCUUUGGGGGAAAGAAUUUCGGAGAAGGAUCGGCCCGCGUUGGAUUAGGUAGUUGGUGGGGUAAUGGCCUACCAAGCCGACGAUCCAUAGCUGGUUUGAGAGGAUGAUCAGCCACACUGGGACUGAGACACGGCCCAGACUCCUACGGGAGGCAGCAGUGGGGAAUCUUAGACAAUGAGGGCAACCCUGAUCUAGCCAUGCCGCGUGAGUGAAGAAGGCCUUAGGGUUGUAAAGCUCUUUCAGUCGUGAAGAUAAUGACGGUAGCGACAGAAGAAGCCCCGGCUAACUCCGUGCCAGCAGCCGCGGUAAUACGGAGGGGGCUAGCGUUGUUCGGAAUUACUGGGCGUAAAGCGCACGUAGGCGGACCUUUAAGUCGGGGGUGAAAUCCCGGGGCUCAACCCCGGAACUGCCUUCGAUACUGGGGGUCUGGAGUUCGAGAGAGGUGAGUGGAAUUCCGAGUGUA